RNAcentral lists this ribosomal RNA (497 nucleotides) under uncultured bacterium. RNAcentral describes it as "partial 16S ribosomal RNA". The stretch from base 52 to 497 matches the Rfam family "Bacterial small subunit ribosomal RNA", at positions 38 to 507 of the family's 1533-position model. The record is from RNAcentral.
GGGGGGGGGGGGGGGGGGGGGGGGGGGGGGGGGGGGGGGGGGGGGGGGGGGGGGGGUGCGGGUGGGACGUUGGGGGGGGGCGGGUGGGUGAGAGGGGGGGGGCCUACCUGUGAGACUGGGAUAACUUGGGGGAAGCGGAGGUACUCCGGGAUACCGUGUGGAACCGCAUGGGUCAGCGGUGAGAGGCGGUCUUUCUGCCACUUCUUGAUGGAUCCGCGCCGCAUUAGCUAGUGGGUCAGGUAACGGCUUACCCAGGGAACGAUGCGUCGCCGACCUGAGAGGGUGAUCGGCCACACUGGAACUGAGACACGGUCCAGACUCCUACGGGAGGCAGCAGUAGGGAAUCUUCCGCAAUGGGCGAAAGCCGGACGGAGCAACGCCGCGUGAGUGAAGAAGGUCUUCGGAUCGUAAAACUCUGUUAUUAGGGAAGAACAAAUGUGUAAGUAACUAUGCACGUCUUGACGGUACCUAAUCAGAAAGCCACGGCUAACUACGUG